UGAGCGCGGGAAGCAAGCUGAUCCUCUUCGGAGGUGACGCUUGUGGAACGAGCGGCGGACGGGUGAGUAACACGUGGGCAACCUGCCUGUAAGACUGGGAUAACCCCGGGAAACCGGGGCUAAUACCGGAUAAUACUUUUCAUCACCUGAUGAGAAGUUGAAAGGUGGCUUUUAGCUACCACUUACAGAUGGGCCCGCGGCGCAUUAGCUAGUUGGUGAGGUAACGGCUCACCAAGGCAACGAUGCGUAGCCGACCUGAGAGGGUGAUCGGCCACACUGGGACUGAGACACGGCCCAGACUCCUACGGGAGGCAGCAGUAGGGAAUCUUCCGCAAUGGACGAAAGUCUGACGGAGCAACGCCGCGUGAGUGAUGAAGGUUUUCGGAUCGUAAAGCUCUGUUGUUAGGGAAGAACAAGUGCCGUUCGAAUAGGGCGGCACCUUGACGGUACCUAACCAGAAAGCCCCGGCUAACUACGUGCCAGCAGCCGCGGUAAUACGUAGGGGGCAAGCGUUGUCCGGAAUUAUUGGGCGUAAAGCGCGCGCAGGCGGUCCUUUAAGUCUGAUGUGAAAGCCCACGGCUCAACCGGUGGAGGGUCAUUGGAAACUGGAGGACUUGAGUACAGAAGAGGAGAGUGGAAUUCCACGUGUAGCGGUGAAAUGCGUAGAGAUGUGGAGGAACACCAGUGGCGAAGGCGACUCUCUGGUCUGUAACUGACGCUGAGGCGCGAAAGCGUGGGGAAGCGAACAGGAUUAGAUACCCUGGUAGUCCACGCCGUAAACGAUGAGUGCUAGGUGUUAGGGGGUUUCCGCCCCUUAGUGCUGAAGUUAACGCAUUAAGCACUCCGCCUGGGGAGUACGGCCGCAAGGCUGAAACUCAAAAGAAUUGACGGGGGCCCGCACAAGCGGUGGAGCAUGUGGUUUAAUUCGACGCAACGCGAAGAACCUUACCAGGUCUUGACAUCCUCUGCAAUCGGUAGAGAUACCGAGUUCCCUUCGGGGACAGAGUGACAGGUGGUGCAUGGUUGUCGUCAGCUCGUGUCGUGAGAUGUUGGGUUAAGUCCCGCAACGAGCGCAACCCUUGAUCUUAGUUGCCAGCAUUUAGUUGGGCACUCUAAGGUGACUGCCGGUGACAAACCGGAGGAAGGUGGGGAUGACGUCAAAUCAUCAUGCCCCUUAUGACCUGGGCUACACACGUGCUACAAUGGAUGGAACAAAGGGAAGCAAAACCGCGAGGUCAAGCAAAUCCCAUAAAACCAUUCUCAGUUCGGAUUGCAGGCUGCAACUCGCCUGCAUGAAGCCGGAAUCGCUAGUAAUCGCGGAUCAGCAUGCCGCGGUGAAUACGUUCCCGGGCCUUGUACACACCGCCCGUCACACCACGAGAGUUGGUAACACCCGAAGUCGGUGAGGUAACCUUUUGGAGCC
This 1423-nucleotide ribosomal RNA is filed under the name Bacillus sp. X-3. Its description in RNAcentral is "bacterial SSU rRNA". It matches the Rfam family "Bacterial small subunit ribosomal RNA". The record is from RNAcentral. Lineage: Bacteria; Bacillati; Bacillota; Bacilli; Caryophanales; Bacillaceae.